RNAcentral lists this ribosomal RNA (392 nucleotides) under uncultured bacterium. Its description in RNAcentral is "partial 16S ribosomal RNA". It matches the Rfam family "Bacterial small subunit ribosomal RNA", at positions 523 to 917 of the family's 1533-position model. The record is from RNAcentral.
AUACGGAGGAUGCGAGCGUUAUCCGGAUUUAUUGGGUUUAAAGGGUGCGCAGGCGGCGCGUUAAGUCAGUGGUGAAAUGUCCCGGCUCAACCGGGGAACUGCCGCUGAUACUGACGUGCUCGAGUACGGACGGCGCCGGCGGAAUGUGUCAUGUAGCGGUGAAAUGCUUAGAUAUGCCACAGAACACCGAUCGCGAAGGCAGCUGGCGAGGCCGGUACUGACGCUCAGGCACGAGAGCGUGGGGAUCAAACAGGAUUAGAUACCCUGGUAGUCCACGCAGUAAACGAUGAGGACUUGUUGUCGGCGAUAGAGUGUCGGUGACAAAGCGAAAGCGAUAAGUCCUCCACCUGGGGAGUACGAUCGCAAGGUUGAAACUCAAAUGAAUUGGCGGG